This 74-nucleotide transfer RNA is filed under the name Camelus dromedarius (Arabian camel). It matches the Rfam family "tRNA". From Rfam's summary of the family: Transfer RNA (tRNA) molecules are approximately 80 nucleotides in length. Their secondary structure includes four short double-helical elements and three loops (D, anti-codon, and T loops). Lineage: Eukaryota; Metazoa; Chordata; Mammalia; Artiodactyla; Camelidae. RNAcentral also lists the same sequence under 1 other name. The record is from Rfam by way of RNAcentral.
GAGGGUAUAGCUCAAGUAGUAAGAGUGUAUGCUUAGCAUGCAUAAGGUCUUGGGUUCAAUCCCCAGUACCUCCU